AGUGAACGCUGGCGGUAGGCCUAACACAUGCAAGUCGCACGGCAGCACAGUAAGAGCUUGCUCUUACGGGUGGCGAGUGGCGGACGGGUGAGGAAUACAUCGGAAUCUACUUUUUCGCGGGGGAUAACGUAGGGAAACUUACGCUAAUACCGCAUACGACCUACGGGUGAAAGCAGGGGAUCUUCGGACCUUGCGCGAUUGAAUGAGCCGAUGUCGGAUUAGCUGGUUGGCGGGGUAAAGGCACACCAAGGCGACGAUACGUAGCUGGUGUGAGAGGAUGGUCAGCCACACUGGAACUGAGCCACGGUCCAGACUCCUACGGGAGGCAGCAGUGGGGAAUAUUGGACAAUGGGCGCAAGCCUGAUCCAGCCAUACCGCGUGGGUGAAGGAGGCCUUCGGGUUGUAAAGCCCUUUUGUUGGGAAAGAAAAGCAGCGGGUUAAUACCCCGCUGUUCUGACGGUACCCAAAGAAUAAGCACCGGCUAACUUCGUG
RNAcentral lists this ribosomal RNA (492 nucleotides) under uncultured bacterium. Its description in RNAcentral is "partial 16S ribosomal RNA". It matches the Rfam family "Bacterial small subunit ribosomal RNA", at positions 29 to 507 of the family's 1533-position model. The record is from RNAcentral.